UAACAAAGUGACGCAAAACGGCGACGUCGAGCAAAUCACAAAAACCCAGUCCCAGUUCGGAUUGUAGUCUGCAACUCGACUACAUGAAGCUGGAAUCGCUAGUAAUCGCGAAUCAGAAUGUCGCGGUGAAUACGUUCCCGGGCCUUGUACACACCGCCCGUCACACCAUGGGAGUUGGAAGCACCCGAAGUCGGUGA
RNAcentral lists this ribosomal RNA (197 nucleotides) under Anaerotignum propionicum DSM 1682. Its description in RNAcentral is "16S rRNA. Bacterial SSU". It matches the Rfam family "Bacterial small subunit ribosomal RNA", at positions 1237 to 1433 of the family's 1533-position model. Lineage: Bacteria; Bacillati; Bacillota; Clostridia; Lachnospirales; Anaerotignaceae. The record is from RNAcentral.